RNAcentral lists this ribosomal RNA (442 nucleotides) under uncultured bacterium. RNAcentral's name for it is "partial 16S ribosomal RNA". It matches the Rfam family "Bacterial small subunit ribosomal RNA", at positions 338 to 795 of the family's 1533-position model. The record is from RNAcentral.
CCUACGGGAGGCAGCAGUGGGGGAUAUUGCACAAUGGGGGAAACCCUGAUGCAGCGACGCCGCGUGGGCGAAGAAGUAUUUCGGUAUGUAAAGCCCUAUCAGCAGGGAAGAAGAAAUGACGGUACCUGAGUAAGAAGCACCGGCUAAAUACGUGCCAGCAGCCGCGGUAAUACGUAUGGUGCAAGCGUUAUCCGGAUUUACUGGGUGUAAAGGGAGCGCAGGCGGCACGGCAAGCCUGAUGUGAAAGCCCGCGGCCCAACCGCGGGACUGCAUUGGGAACUACCGGGCUGGAGUGCCGGAGAGGUAGGCGGAAUUCCUAGUGUAGCGGUGAAAUGCGUAGAUAUUAGGAGGAACACCAGUGGCGAAGGCGGCUUACUGGACUGUAAAUGACGCUGAGGCUCGAAAGCGUGGGGAGCAAACAGGAUUAGAUACCCCGGUAGUC